UGAAAGGCGAAAAGAUGCGAUCGGUGCUGUUUGACCUUCCACUGCUCACAAAUGAUAUAUCCAUCUCUGGUGUGUAAGGCUCAUAUUUGUUAAGUGAACUUCUACCUCUAGUGAAUGGAGACCUGUCCCAAUUUGUUAUCAGAUGCUGCUGUAAAAGGAGACCCGUAAAGUUUCUGUGAGCAAUGGCGAUAAAAUCCAAAUGUAGUGGAAUUGUAGCAUGAGUCUACAGAAGCAAACCUGUGGAUAUUCGGGUAUGCCUGUUACCGUGAGGUGUAUCAGCUGGAGCAAGAUUGCUAGGCCUGUGUUGCAACAUGAUUUGGGGGGAAGAAUUAGGAGGGGAAUGCCUUGCCGGUAUUUGAGCAGUAGCAGAUCGUUGAGAAGAAACCUUUGCUUUGUUGAUGAUAUAUACAUUGCAGAACUCUGGUGCAGAUUUUGACACAGUGCUUGGAACAUCUGUGCUCUUGAAUUUUCUGGGGACAGAAAGGAUAUAAUUAGUAUCUGCAUAUAAAUAAGGUGCUGUAGAACUGAGGCGUGGCAUUGGAUUAUAUUCAGAUAGAAAUUUCAUAAAUGGGGUACCUGGCAAUUAUGCCUCCCCUUGUUGGCGUACCAAGUAUCAAGUUUUCAAUUAAAUGUGUAGAGACAUAUUCUAAUAUUGCUUUAGGUAUAUCAACAUCCUCAAUUACGAUCUCAUGACACUUGAUCUGCAUGAAAGGUAAAUGAUGAGGUAAAGAGACAUGUCAAUUACAGGAUUUGCAAAGAACAAGGUUAAGUUGUUACAAUACAAGAAGAAGAGAAUAUGAAUGAACAUAGGAGAAGAACAAGACUUACAUCCUUUCGAGUGCAGAAGCAGCGAAAUGGAAGGAAUAAAUCCCUGACUUCAGAUUCAAGGUUUUUGCUAUAUGUCCUUGUAAUCUCCUCAUUACCAUCUGCGCUGCCAGGAAAGCUUCCGCCUCCAGCUGCAAGAAUUAAAGGAAAAAAAAUUGGAUUCUUUUGGUUACCAAUCACCCACCUCACUGAAAUUAUUCAUGUGUAUCUGAUGAACCAUCAUUAACAAAAUCACAUUGUUUUAUAUUUGCAUUUAAAUACAUGUUGAUGAUGAUCGAAAAAGGA
Ricinus communis (castor bean) is the source of this 1110-nucleotide long non-coding RNA. RefSeq lists it as uncharacterized. The transcript has 2 exons. The record is from RefSeq and is a predicted model, not a curated record. NCBI's taxonomy places the organism in Eukaryota, Viridiplantae, Streptophyta, Magnoliopsida, Malpighiales, Euphorbiaceae.